UAUCCGUUGGUGAACCAGCGGAGGGAUCAUUACCGAGUGCAAACUCAUAACCCUUUGUGAACCUAUAUCUGUUGCUUCGGCGGCUCGCUCUCGGGCGAGCCCGCCGGUAAUAUCAGUAUCUCUGUUUGAACCCGACGAUACUUCUGAGUGUUCUUAGCGAACAGUUAAAACUUUUAACAACGGAUCUCUUGGCUCUA
RNAcentral lists this unclassified non-coding RNA (197 nucleotides) under plant metagenome. RNAcentral's name for it is "partial contains small subunit ribosomal RNA, internal transcribed spacer 1, and 5.8S ribosomal RNA". The record is from RNAcentral.